Molecule: ribosomal RNA, 520 nt
Filed under: uncultured Archaeospora
Lineage: Eukaryota; Fungi; Glomeromycota; Glomeromycetes; Archaeosporales; Archaeosporaceae
Description: SSU rRNA
Rfam family: Eukaryotic small subunit ribosomal RNA
Source: RNAcentral
AGCAGCCGCGGUAAUUCCAGCUCCAAUAGCGUAUAUUAAAGUUGUUGCAGUUAAAAAGCUCGUAGUUGAAUUUUGGAUUCUUCCAAUUGGUCCAUCUUUUAGAUGAGUACUGGUUGUGUGGGGUCUAUCCGCCUGGUGAUACGUAAUGUCCUUUAUUGGAUGUUUCGGGUAGUCAGGACCUUUACCUUGAAAAAUUAGAGUGUUUAAAGCAGGCUUAUGCCGGAAUACAUUAGCAUGGAAUAAUAGAAUAGGACGAAGUUGUUUUAUUUUGUUGGUUUCUAGGACAACCGUAAUGAUUAAUAGGGAUAGUUGGGGGCAUUAGUAUUCAAUUGUCAGAGGUGAAAUUCUUGGAUUUAUUGAAGACUAACUACUGCGAAAGCAUUUGCCAAGGAUGUUUUCAUUAAUCAAGAACGAAAGUUAGGGGAUCGAAGACGAUCAGAUACCGUCGUAGUCUUAACCAUAAACUAUGCCGACUAGGGAUCGGGCGAUGUUGUUUCCAUGACUCGCUCGGCACCUUAUG